AUAUGCGAAGGUCCUAAUAAAUCUCGCUUUAUGCCUUCUGAGCAUGGAGUCAAUGUCACCUUUCUUCAGCUGUUCCUAACUCAAUGUCGACGUCUGGUGACCCCUCCGGAAACUGCAGAACGAAUGGGAUGCUUUGGAUCUACACCAUCGGGAGACGCCGCUGCGGCCCUGCCGGUCCUCGCAGGACGGACUGGACGCCCUCUGUCCUCCAUUUAAGAGAGGAUGUCAGCUAGAAAGAGGACCUCGAAUGUCAGCCUGAAAAGGUGGACUCUCCUGUUGCUUUCAUGAGGAUGGAAGCCCCAGCUCUGCCUGCAUACCAGCGGACACAGCUGCACUCAUUCUCCUCCUCCGUACCACUCCUGGGAGCAGCGGCAGUGUGGGUGCGACCUGUCGCUUCUCCCCACUCUAGCUGAUUUUUAAUAAAGGUAUUUAAAAAGGAGAAAGAUCUCCUGCCCUAUUUAUUUCAGUGAUUCCCUGACCACCCACCGCUGCUUGCUUGCUUUCUUUACAAUAAAAGAUAUAGAAAUAAAA
Passer domesticus (house sparrow) is the source of this 531-nucleotide long non-coding RNA. RefSeq lists it as uncharacterized. The transcript is spliced from 2 exons. NCBI's taxonomy places the organism in Eukaryota, Metazoa, Chordata, Aves, Passeriformes, Passeridae. The record is from RefSeq and is a predicted model, not a curated record.